GUUAGAGGGUUUCCGCCCUUUAGUGCUGAAGUUAACGCAUUAAGCACUCCGCCUGGGGAGUACGGCCGCAAGGCUGAAACUCAAAGGAAUUGACGGGGGCCCGCACAAGCGGUGGAGCAUGUGGUUUAAUUCGAAGCAACGCGAAGAACCUUACCAGGUCUUGACAUCCUCUGAAAACUCUAGAGAUAGAGCUUCUCCUUCGGGAGCAGAGUGANCAGGUGGUGCAUGGUUGUCGUCAGCUCGUGUCGUGAGAUGUUGGGUUAAGUCCCGCAACGAGCGCAACCCUUGAUCUUAGUUGCCAUCAUUAAGUUGGGCACUCUAAGGUGACUGCCGGUGACAAACCGGAGGAAGGUGGGGAUGACGUCAAAUCAUCAUGCCCCUUAUGACCUGGGCUACACACGUGCUACAAUGGACGGUACAAAGAGCUGCAAGACCGCGAGGUGGAGCUAAUCUCAUAAAACCGUUCUCAGUUCGGAUUGUAGGCUGCAACUCGCCUACAUGAAG
This 504-nucleotide ribosomal RNA is filed under the name Bacillus sp. RN-77b. RNAcentral describes it as "bacterial SSU rRNA". It matches the Rfam family "Bacterial small subunit ribosomal RNA", at positions 822 to 1325 of the family's 1533-position model. Lineage: Bacteria; Bacillati; Bacillota; Bacilli; Caryophanales; Bacillaceae. The record is from RNAcentral.